RNAcentral lists this ribosomal RNA (146 nucleotides) under uncultured eukaryote. RNAcentral's name for it is "partial small subunit ribosomal RNA". It matches the Rfam family "Eukaryotic small subunit ribosomal RNA", at positions 1296 to 1461 of the family's 1831-position model. The record is from RNAcentral.
AGUUGGUGGAGUGAUUUGUCUGCUUAAUUGCGUUAACGAACGAGACCUCAGCCUACUAAAUAGUUACGUGGAAUCAUCGAUUCCCGGCCAACUUCUUAGAGGGACUAUUGGUGUUUAGCCAAUGGAAGUUUGAGGCAAUAACAGGU